This 406-nucleotide ribosomal RNA is filed under the name uncultured bacterium. RNAcentral describes it as "partial 16S ribosomal RNA". It matches the Rfam family "Bacterial small subunit ribosomal RNA", at positions 29 to 526 of the family's 1533-position model. The record is from RNAcentral.
AUUGAACGCUGGCGGCAGGCCUAACACAUGCAAGUCGAGCGAGCGGCGGACGGGUGAGUAAUGUCUGGGAAACUGCCUGAUGGAGGGGGAUAACUACUGGAAACGGUAGCUAAUACCGCAUACCAUCAGAUGUGCCCAGAUGGGAUUAGCUAGUAGGUGGGGUAACGGCUCACGUAGGCGACGAUCCCUAGCUGGUCUGAGAGGAUGACCAGCGACGCUGGAACGGAGACACGGUCCAGACUCGUACGUGAGGCAGCAGGGGGGAAGAUUGCACAAUGGGCGCAAGCCUGAUGCAGCCAUGCCGCGUGGGUGAAGAAGUCCGACGGGUUUUAAAGCACUUUCAGCGUGGAGGCGUUACCCGCAGAAGAAGCACCGGCUAACUCCGUGCCAGCAGCCGCGGUAAUUC